UUAGCUUCAGCGAUGGAUCGGUCGAUUCGCGUAUCGAUGAAAAACGCAGCUAGCUGCGUUAUUUNCCACGAAUUGCAGNCGCUUAGAGUGGUGNNAUUUUGAACGCAUAGCNCCGUUGGGUUUUCCCUUNGGCACGUCUGGUUCAGGGUUGU
Molecule: ribosomal RNA, 152 nt
Filed under: Strongyloidea sp. MM-2016b
Lineage: Eukaryota; Metazoa; Nematoda; Chromadorea; Rhabditida
Description: Trichostrongyloidea sp. MM-2016b 5.8S ribosomal RNA
Rfam family: 5.8S ribosomal RNA
About the family: 5.8S ribosomal RNA (5.8S rRNA) is a component of the large subunit of the eukaryotic ribosome. It is transcribed by RNA polymerase I as part of the 45S precursor that also contains 18S and 28S rRNA. Functionally, it is thought that 5.8S rRNA may be involved in ribosome translocation.
Source: RNAcentral